GAUGAACGCUGGCGGCGUGCCUAAUACAUGCAAGUCGAGCGAACAGACGAGGAGCUUGCUCCUCUGACGUUAGCGGCGGACGGGUGAGUAACACGUGGGUAACCUACCUAUAAGACUGGGAUAACUUCGGGAAACCGGAGCUAAUACCGGAUAAUAUUUUGAACCGCAUGGUUCGAUAGUGAAAGAUGGCUUUGCUAUCACUUAUAGAUGGACCUGCGCCGCAUUAGCUAGUUGGUAAGGUAACGGCUUACCAAGGCAACGAUACGUAGCCGACCUGAGAGGGUGAUCGGCCACACUGGAACUGAGACACGGUCCAGACUCCUACGGGAGGCAGCAGUAGGGAAUCUUCCGCAAUGGGCGAAAGCCUGACGGAGCAACGCCGCGUGAGUGAUGAAGGUCUUCGGAUCGUAAAACUCUGUUAUUAGGGAAGAACAAACGUGUAAGUAACUGUGCACGUCUUGACGGUACCUAAUCAGAAAGCCACGGCUAACUACGUG
RNAcentral lists this ribosomal RNA (497 nucleotides) under uncultured bacterium. RNAcentral describes it as "partial 16S ribosomal RNA". It matches the Rfam family "Bacterial small subunit ribosomal RNA", at positions 28 to 507 of the family's 1533-position model. The record is from RNAcentral.